AAGGGUUGGCAGGGGACCAGAGAAUAGAGGAAGCAUUGUAGGUUCUAGAGUGGAGAAGGGACCAUCCAAAAUGGAGUUUGAAAGAGAAUUCUGGCCUUUGUGUUUAGAGUCUGGAAUUGUUAAGAGUCUGAAGGCACAGAAUAAGACUGCAGCUAGAGCAAUUUAGGCGCCAUAGUUUGUCAAAACAGGUAAGGGGAAUAAAGGGGAUGACACAAUCAGAAGAAUUCACCUGAAAAGGAUACAGCCUCCUCCUGGAAGUCAGAGGAGUAAAUAGGGAAUUGGAAAUUAAUUCCUUAUUUCUGUGCAUGCACAGAAUCUGGGCCCAGGUGACUUAUGGAACCUUUAUAGAGACCAAGGUGACUGACAUUCAUGGGAAAGGGGGUAGAGGGGCAAUAACUGACUGUUCGUCAAAAAUUAUUAGACGAGUGUGUCCACGACACCAGGAGAUAUGUUGAAUCAUGGACAGGUACCAGCAUAUCCACUAAGCUCUAUAUAUGUUGAUGGUGCAAGAUCCAAGUGGGAUGGAACAACAAAUUCCUGCUCAUCCUCCUGCUCAAUAAUACAUGUGCUCAGAAUCUGUUCAUAAUGCAUGGUGAGAUGGGAUCUCACUGUGCUGCCCAGGCUGGUCUCGAACUGCUGGACUCAAGUAAUCCUCCCAUCUUGGCCUCCCAAAGUGCUGGGAUUAUAGUGGACAACCUUGAAUGCACUGGUACUUUGUACCCUGACCUCUACUGUAAUGAAAACUCAACUUGGGCAAGGAAGUGAAAUUCUCCAAAGUCCUAGCACUUUGGGAGGCUGAAGCAGGCGGAUUACUUGAGGCCAGGAGUUCGAGACCAGCCUGGCCAACAUGGUGAAACCCCGUCUCUACUAAAAAUACAAAAAAUUAGCCAGGCUUGGUGGCACACGCCUAUGGUUCCAGCUACUCGGGAGGCUGAGGCAGGAGAAUUGCUUGAACCCAGGAGGCGGAGGUUGCAGUGAGCCAAGGUUGUGCAACUGUACUCCAGCCUGGGUGACAGAGCGAGAUUGCCUCAAAAAAAAAAAA
RNAcentral lists this non-coding RNA (1042 nucleotides) under Pongo abelii (Sumatran orangutan). The record is from RNAcentral. Lineage: Eukaryota; Metazoa; Chordata; Mammalia; Primates; Hominidae.